UCUCGUGAUAGUUUCCGUAAUUAGUUUUAUCCGCGUCCACAAAUGCAAAAUCAAAACUACCUCUGUUUUUAUCGUCUUCCAGGAGUUUGUCAAGAACAGGUAAAGCUGGAGAGUGUUUGAAAUUGAUCUUAUGCUCAACACCAGCUUUUCGAAUGACUGGCAGGCCUAGUUCAUAAGACUCGAGAUUCGAGUCAAUUGCUAGAAUCUUGCCAUCAUCAGGAAUUGUAAGAGCAGUGAGAAGCAGAGAAUAUCCUGUGAACACUCCGAGUUCAAUUGUGUUUUUGGCGUUUAAUAGAUUCAACAACAUCGCUAUCAAUUGACCUGAAUCAGGUGUUGUUCCCAUGUAAAAAUCAGGGAGAUUUGCAGUUAUAGCCCUGAUUUCUUUGAGAGGCUCUGGUUCUCGAGGGUAAACACUAGUCUCCAAAACAUAUCGAUAUAAUUCUUGACUCUGCAAUAAGCCUUUAUUGUCCCAGGGUGAACCUUCAACCUGUAAACAUAAUCAAAUAACAAAAAAUCAAGCAUUCAUCAGGUAACUUUGUCCGUCAAUGCUUGUGAAGAUUGAAGUUUAUCAUUACAAAUAGAGGAUGAAGAAAUAGACCUGAUCAGAAGCGUUAGAAUGAAGAUUCAUCCUCCGACCUGAAAAUGCUAGUUGCUUUUUGGGAUGGAUGUAGAUUCAGAGUCAAAGUACUUUCAAUGCGGAAUAUAAAUUCUCUCAUUGCACUUGAGAAUCUCUUGUAUUAUCGGUUCUUCCACCGAAAAAAUGCUAGGUGUCUCGCAUGCCAACUCAUACUUGCGUGAGAGAUUUCUUUGCUUCACAAAUGGACAAAUUUGGGUACCAUAUUUUAAGACUUCCUCCAAACUCCUACCUAUAUUACCUUCAUUUCUUAUGGACAAAAUAAUUUCAAUUUGGGGUCGAUUGGAUUUUAUGUUUCAUACUUUCUGAGAACUUUUUAGUUAUGGGAGUUGAAAUUGAAAAUGAUAAUGACUAUGAAUUUCCUCAUUUAUUUUCUUAAUUAAUGUUACCGGCCAAUUUCUACCAAAUUUACUAAUUUGUUUUUUUUUUUUUUUGGAAAAUUACGCGGUUAGGCAAACAUAUACUAGUUAAUUAACUAACAUAGUUAUAGUUUGCAUUAAUUACAAUUUGGAACUUACUUCUAGUUAUAAUUACAUUCUCUCUCUCUCAUCUCUCUCCUCUCUGGAAUCUCACUCGUCACUCUCCUCUUUUUCAGUCAUCUCUCCCUCGCCUCUCUCCUCUCUCCUCUCCAUGCCCAAUCUCUCGCUCGCUUCUCUUCUGCCAAUCUCUCUCUCACUUUAUACAAACACAAAUUAUACAAUGUAUAAUUUGUGUUUGUAUAAAACGGAAAAGAGAUUGGAUAUAUAAAUACUAAUAUUUUAACUCGAUUCAAUUGUAUAUGAAUUCAAAUUGUAUGCAGGUAUAUAAAUCCAAUAAUUGAUACAUAUACAUUGUAGUUACAUAUAUAAAAUUAUCUAAUCGAUAUACAUAUACAGUUCGCCUCUCUCCACUCUCUGUCCUCUCUCACUCGCAUCUCUCCUCCCUCUCCCAAUCUUUCUCGCCUCUCUCCUCCAUCUGUCAAUCUCGCUCGCUUGAUAUACAAAUACAUAUGUAUACCAGUAAUAUAUAUACAAUUAUUUUGACAGAUAUACAUAUAAAAUUUGUCUCUCUCUACUCUCUGCCCUCUCUCGCUCGCCUCUCCUCCCUUCCCCAAUCUCGCUCACCACUCCCCUCCCUAAAACAUGUAGCUACGAAUCGUAAUUAGCAAACUAUAGCUAUGGAGCAUAAUUAAGUUAUUUUUGAGUGGCUAUUUGUGAAAAUUAUUCGCUUUUUUCCCCUAGUGUAUUAGGAUACUGAUGGAGGAUUUUUUUUUUUAAUUAAUAAACAUGAACUACAAUUUGUUUUGUAGAAGAGAAAUGAGAACAAGAAGAUAAAGGGGGAGUUUGUCAAGAGAGAAAGUAAAGUCUUUGAAAGGGGGACCGAAAAUGUCCAUUUUUCAAGUAAAUAAGUUGUUUUUCUUUAAAUCGAUACGAUUAAAUUUGAAGAACACAUGAAUUAGUUCAACCCGAAGGUUGCGAGUUCGAGUCACCAAGGGAGCAAAAGGGGUGGGAGCUCCUAGGGAGGGUAAAAAAAGACGAGAUGAAGUUGCUCGAAUGGUAAGCACCCUUCACUUCCAACUCGAAGGUUGCGAAUUUGAGUCACCAGGGGAGCAAAAGGGGUGGGAGCUCCUACGGAGUUUUAAAAAAAAAAAAAAAAGUUCAACAAUUUCCCUAGCAUAUACGUAAUCAGUAAUAUGCUCAUAUCUAACAUCAAUACAACAACAACAACAACAACAAACCCAGUGAAAUCCCACAAAGUGGGGUCUGGGGAGGGUAAAUUGUACGCAGACCUUACCACUACCUCGUGGAGAUAGAGAGGAUGUUUCCGGAUGACCCUCGGCUCAAGUACAUCCAUAGAUGUACAUUUUUAUUCAAUCUACUUUAUAUUACGUUCUUUCCAUUUAUACCACAUAAUCAUAAACAAAAUAGUGACACUUCACGAAGGUUGACAUAUUAUUUAUAACAUCAUCAUGCUAAUCACGAGGAAAAAAAGCUACUGGUUCCUUCAUAUAUAUAAGCUUAUAACCCUCCAACAAAAUUUCAUUUAUUUUGAUGAUUAAUCAAACCUUAUUUGAUGAAACUAUUGACAAGCGACAUGACUUCUGAAGACAAAAUCAAUACUAAUAAGGUAUUGAAGCGAUGGUCAUCUGCAGGUGAAACUUCGACUAAGACUUGUACCUAAUUUCCUCGGUCAAAAGAGUCGCCUGCAGAUGGUCAUUCCAUCACCUAACGGAACUUGAGAAAUUUGAAUUCGGGUAUCUGCAGCAAGGGAUUUGUUUAACUCAACUAAGUAACUUCUUUCUGGUCUCAUCAACUUGUCAACACUUUCCUCUGGCAUACCAACUGAUCCAUACCAGAGUGUGUUAUCAUACACAAUCAAACCUCCAACUUUCACCAGCUGCAUUAGUCUCUCGUGAUAGUUUCCGUAAUUAGUUUUAUCCGCAUCCACAAAUGCAAAAUCAAAGCUACUUUUGUUAUUAUCAUCUUCCAGGAGUUUGUCAAGAACAGGUAAAGCCGGAGAGUGUUUGAAAUCGAUCUUAUGCUCAACACCGGCUUUUUGAAUGAUUGGCAGGCCCAUUUCAUAAGACUCGAGAUUCGGGUCAAUUGCUAGGAUCUUGCCAUCAUCAGGAAUUGUAAGAGCAGUG
This 3257-nucleotide long non-coding RNA is filed under the name Solanum tuberosum (potato). RNAcentral's name for it is "long non-coding RNA (STUB_LNC005029)". Lineage: Eukaryota; Viridiplantae; Streptophyta; Magnoliopsida; Solanales; Solanaceae. The record is from RNAcentral.